This 252-nucleotide ribosomal RNA is filed under the name uncultured bacterium. Its description in RNAcentral is "partial 16S ribosomal RNA". It matches the Rfam family "Bacterial small subunit ribosomal RNA", at positions 524 to 776 of the family's 1533-position model. The record is from RNAcentral.
UACGUAGGGGGCAAGCGUUGUCCGGAUUUAUUGGGCGUAAAGAGCGUGUAGGCGGUUUGGUAGGUCCGCUGUGAAAACUCGAGCUCAACCUCGAGACGCCGGUGGAAACCAUCAGACUAGAGUCCGGAAGAGGAGAGUGGAAUUCCCGGUGUAGCGGUGAAAUGCGCAGAUAUCGGGAAGAACACCCGUGGCGAAGGCGGCUCUCUGGGACGGUACUGACGCUGAGACGCGAAAGCGUGGGGAGCGAACAGG